GACCAUGUGGCCUGAUAGAUAUGGUGUCUGAUUCUGGAUCCGAAGAUUAAGAGUUCAAGUCCUUUAAUGGUUG
Non-coding RNA from Myotis brandtii (Brandt's bat), 73 nucleotides. Lineage: Eukaryota; Metazoa; Chordata; Mammalia; Chiroptera; Vespertilionidae. The record is from Rfam.